Molecule: ribosomal RNA, 194 nt
Filed under: uncultured Verrucomicrobiales bacterium
Lineage: Bacteria; Pseudomonadati; Verrucomicrobiota; Verrucomicrobiia; Verrucomicrobiales
Description: partial 16S ribosomal RNA
Rfam family: Bacterial small subunit ribosomal RNA
Source: RNAcentral
CCUACGGGAGGCAGCAGUCGAGAAUUUUUCACAAUGGGGGAAACCCUGAUGGAGCGACGCCGCGUGGAGGAUGAAGGUUUUCGGAUUGUAAACUCCUGUCACUGCAGAGCAAAGUUUAUCGGUUAAUAGCCGGUAAAACUGAUAGUAUGCAGGGAGGAAGGGACGGCUAACUCUGUGCCAGCAGCCGCGGUAAU